AACUUUUCCUAUAUUGGUCGUUUUAUUCGUAAGAUUGAAUCCUCUAGGAUUUUUUCCUAAGGAAUCAUUUGUACUACAUUCCUUGUGCAGGUAGGUUCUGCUACUUUACACUUUGGUAGUUCUACAUACAGUCCCCACCAUAGUUUAAUGAGAUAGAAUUCCUUGAGGAUACCGUUGACGCGUUGUAGAAUGCAGUCAUGGUGGGCCGCGGAAGAUUGUAUCACUUGUGGGCCAAUUCACUGAGCGGGAUUGCAAACCUGAUAAACAGGCCCACGUUUCUCUAUCCCCCAUAGUUCAAUGUGUGAAGCUGAGUCUUGACGAAGGUUGAUGGAUGUUGCCAACCGCUUAGCUAAGUUUGAUGAGUACACAUGCCACAUAUGGAGAGUUGAAAUCUUGACUGACAAAGACAUCAAACGAUGUACUGUGCACAGUUACCCUGGGUUGCUAUCAGUAUAUCAGAUGGUGUCCAUCUGAAUGGAAACGGUGAGCAGUCUUAGACCACAUCUUGAAGGGAGCUUUGUACCGUCUGUGCUACUUAGUUUGCAUCAAUCAGAAAAGUCUGUUUCAACAAAAUAUAUCCUCAUGUUGCAGGCUGCCUAUGUUUUUUUCUUUGUGUUGUUUGA
Aegilops tauschii subsp. strangulata is the source of this 623-nucleotide long non-coding RNA. RefSeq lists it as uncharacterized. The record is from RefSeq and is a predicted model, not a curated record. NCBI's taxonomy places the organism in Eukaryota, Viridiplantae, Streptophyta, Magnoliopsida, Poales, Poaceae.